Molecule: long non-coding RNA, 302 nt
Filed under: Androctonus crassicauda
Lineage: Eukaryota; Metazoa; Arthropoda; Arachnida; Scorpiones; Buthidae
Source: RNAcentral
GGGAAAUAAGAAAUAAUCAAACAGUGGGGCCCAUAUUUGAUGUGACCUGGAGUUUGAUAAAACAUAGAGUGUAGUAGCCAACGUUUAAUUAUGUUGUUUUGUCUGUGCUGUGAAGCUCGAGUCUCACUUGACGGGUGUCUCCAUGCUGGACGUGGUUCGGUGGAGGGCCUGUCAUUUAGUAUGUUCUGCCUGUGUCUUCUGGUUAGUGUCUCUAUAGUUUGUGUGACGGCUUGGGAUGGUUUAAAGAUUGGCUUUGGGAUCUUAGCGUUGGGCCGGUCUAUACGAACAUUCUCAGAGGACGC